AUCUAUUGUCAUACCAUUCUGAACACACCCGAUUUCAUCUUGGAAACUAAGCAGGGUUAGGUCUGGUUAGUACUUGGAUGGGAGACCCCUGUGAGGAGGAAGAAAAAGAAAUG
Molecule: ribosomal RNA, 113 nt
Filed under: Rattus norvegicus (Norway rat)
Lineage: Eukaryota; Metazoa; Chordata; Mammalia; Rodentia; Muridae
Source: RNAcentral